CGCGGAGUAGAGCAGUGGUAGCUUGUCAGGCUCAUAACCUGGAGGUCGUGGGUUCGAAUCCUGCCUCCGCAA
Molecule: transfer RNA, 72 nt
Filed under: Prevotellaceae bacterium
Lineage: Bacteria; Pseudomonadati; Bacteroidota; Bacteroidia; Bacteroidales; Prevotellaceae
Description: tRNA-Met
Rfam family: tRNA
About the family: Transfer RNA (tRNA) molecules are approximately 80 nucleotides in length.
Source: RNAcentral